RNAcentral lists this ribosomal RNA (468 nucleotides) under uncultured bacterium. RNAcentral describes it as "partial 16S ribosomal RNA". It matches the Rfam family "Bacterial small subunit ribosomal RNA", at positions 28 to 507 of the family's 1533-position model. The record is from RNAcentral.
GACGAACGCUGGCGGCGUGCUUAACACAUGCAAGUCGAACGGAAAGGCCCUGCGUUUGUGGGGUGCUCGAGGGGCGAACGGGGGAGUAACACGUGAGUAACCUGCCCUUGACUUUGGGAUAACUUCAGGAAACUGGGGCUAAUACCGGAUAGGAGCUCCUGCUGCAUGGUGGGGGUUGGAAAGUUUCGGCGGUUGGGGAUGGACUCGCGGCUUAUCAGCUUGUUGGUGGGGUAGUGGCUUCCCAAGGCUUUGAAGGGUAGCCGGCCUGAGAGGGUGACCGGCCCCAUUGGGCCUGCGAUACGGCCCAGACUCCUACGGGGGGCAGCAGUGGGGAAUAUUGCACAAUGGGCGGAAGCCUGAUGCAGCAACGCCGCGUGCGGGAUGACGGCCUUCGGGUUGUAAACCGCUUUCGCCUGUGACGAAGCGUGAGUGACGGUAAUGAGUAAAGAAGCACCGGCUAACUACGUG